AGUGAACGCUGGCGGUAGGCCUAACACAUGCAAGUCGAACGGCAGCACAGUAAGAGCUUGCUCUUACGGGUGGCGAGUGGCGGACGGGUGAGGAAUACAUCGGAAUCUACUUUUUCGUGGGGGAUAACGUAGGGAAACUUACGCUAAUACCGCAUACGACCUACGGGUGAAAGCAGGGGAUCUUCGGACCUUGCGCGGUUGAAUGAGCCGAUGUCGGAUUAGCUAGUUGGCGGGGUAAAGGCCCACCAAGGCGACGAUCCGUAGCUGGUCUGAGAGGAUGAUCAGCCACACUGGAACUGAGACACGGUCCAGACUCCUACGGGAGGCAGCAGUGGGGAAUAUUGGACAAUGGGCGCAAGCCUGAUCCAGCCAUACCGCGUGGGUGAAGAAGGCCUUCGGGUUGUAAAGCCCUUUUGUUGGGAAAGAAAAGCAGCAGGUUAAUACCCCGCUGUUCUGACGGUACCCAAAGAAUAAGCACCGGUUAACUUCGUG
Molecule: ribosomal RNA, 492 nt
Filed under: uncultured bacterium
Lineage: Bacteria
Description: partial 16S ribosomal RNA
Rfam family: Bacterial small subunit ribosomal RNA
Source: RNAcentral